Molecule: ribosomal RNA, 807 nt
Filed under: Nocardiopsis sp. qf11-1
Lineage: Bacteria; Bacillati; Actinomycetota; Actinomycetes; Streptosporangiales; Nocardiopsidaceae
Description: bacterial SSU rRNA
Rfam family: Bacterial small subunit ribosomal RNA
Source: RNAcentral
UGCAGUCGAGCGGUAAGGCCCUUCGGGGUACACGAGCGGCGAACGGGUGAGUAACACGUGAGCAACCUGCCCCUGACUCCGGGAUAAGCGGUGGAAACGCCGUCUAAUACCGGAUACGACCUUCCGCCUCAUGGCGGUGGGUGGAAAGUUUUUUCGGUUGGGGAUGGGCUCGCGGCCUAUCAGCUUGUUGGUGGGGUAACGGCCUACCAAGGCGAUUACGGGUAGCCGGCCUGAGAGGGCGACCGGCCACACUGGGACUGAGACACGGCCCAGACUCCUGCGGGAGGCAGCAGUGGGGAAUAUUGCGCAAUGGGCGAAAGCCUGACGCAGCGACGCCGCGUGGGGGAUGACGGCCUUCGGGUUGUAAACCUCUUUUACCACCAACGCAGGCUCCGGGUUCUCCCGGGGUUGACGGUAGGUGGGGAAUAAGGACCGGCUAACUACGUGCCAGCAGCCGCGGUAAUACGUAGGGUCCGAGCGUUGUCCGGAAUUAUUGGGCGUAAAGAGCUCGUAGGCGGCGUGUCGCGUCUGCUGUGAAAGACCGGGGCUUAACUCCGGUUCUGCAGUGGAUACGGGCAUGCUAGAGGUAGGUAGGGGAGACUGGAAUUCCUGGUGUAGCGGUGAAAUGCGCAGAUAUCAGGAGGAACACCGGUGGCGAAGGCGGGUCUCUGGGCCUUACCUGACGCUGAGGAGCGAAAGCAUGGGGAGCGAACAGGAUUAGAUACCCUGGUAGUCCAUGCCGUAAACGUUGGGCGCUAGGUGUGGGGACUUUCCACGGUUUCCGCGCCGUAGCUAACGCAUUAAGCG